GAAAUGCGAUAAGUAAUGUGAAUUGCAGAAUUCAGUGAAUCAUCGAAUCUUUGAACGCAUCUUGCGCCCUUUGGUAUUCCGAAGGGCAUGCCUGUUUGAGUGUCAUGGUAUUCUCAAUACCCCAAAUCUUUGCGGAUAAGGGUGUGUUGGACUUGGAGGUUUUUGCAGGUAAUGAUUGUGUUACCAGCUCCUCUUAAAUGCAUUAGCAGAGAUAAUACUGCUACUCUCCAGUGUGAUAAUUGUCUACACUGUUAGUAGUGCGGUAUAACAAAAUGUCUAUGCUUCUAAUCGUCUUCGGACAACUUUUGACAAUCUGACCUCAAAUCAGGUAGGACUACCCGCUGAACUUAA
RNAcentral lists this unclassified non-coding RNA (351 nucleotides) under uncultured Polyporales. RNAcentral describes it as "sequence contains ITS1". The stretch from base 1 to 105 matches the Rfam family "5.8S ribosomal RNA", at positions 50 to 154 of the family's 154-position model. Lineage: Eukaryota; Fungi; Basidiomycota; Agaricomycetes; Polyporales. The record is from RNAcentral.